Molecule: ribosomal RNA, 486 nt
Filed under: Teleopsis nr. quinqueguttata 1 MS-2015
Lineage: Eukaryota; Metazoa; Arthropoda; Insecta; Diptera; Diopsidae
Description: partial 16S ribosomal RNA
Rfam family: Bacterial large subunit ribosomal RNA (bases 250-408)
Source: RNAcentral
GUUUCAUUUGAAAUUUUUAUAGAAUUUUAUUUUUUAGUUAAAAAGCUAAAAUUUAAUCAAAAGACGAGAAGACCCUAUAAAUCUUUAUUAUUUAUUUAUUUUUAAUUUUUAUUUGAAUAUUUUGAUUAUUAGUAAUUUUAUAAUUUUAUUGGGGUGAUAUUAAAAUUUAAUGAACUUUUAAUUUUUUUUAUCAUUUAUUUAUGAUUAAUUGAUCCUUUAUUAAAGAUUAAAAAUUUAAGUUACUUUAGGGAUAACAGCGUAAUUUUUUUGGAGAGUUCUUAUCGAUAAAAAAGUUUGCGACCUCGAUGUUGGAUUAAGAUUAAUAUUUAAAUGCAGAAGUUUAAAUAUAAAGUCUGUUCGACUUUUUAUUCUUACAUGAUCUGAGUUCAGACCGGCGUAAGCCAGGUUGGUUUCUAUCUUUGAUUAUUUAUAAUAUUUUAGUACGAAAGGAAUUAAUAUUAAUUUUUAAAAAAUUUUUUUAUGAAU